This 457-nucleotide ribosomal RNA is filed under the name uncultured bacterium. RNAcentral's name for it is "partial 16S ribosomal RNA". It matches the Rfam family "Bacterial small subunit ribosomal RNA", at positions 338 to 795 of the family's 1533-position model. The record is from RNAcentral.
CCUACGGGGGGCAGCAGUGGGGAAUAUUGCACAAUGGGGGAAACCCUGAUGCAGCGACGCCGCGUGAGUGAAGAAGUAUUUCGGUAUGUAAAGCUCUAUCAGCAGGGAAGAAAUCCACCCUCCGGGGUGGCUGACGGUACCUGACUAAGAAGCCCCGGCUAACUACGUGCCAGCAGCCGCGGUAAUACGUAGGGGGCAAGCGUUAUCCGGAUUUAUUGGGGGUAAAGGGGGCGUAGGUGGCAGGGCAAGUCAGAUGUGAAAACCCGGGGCCCAACCCCGGGAGUGCAUUUGAAACUGUCUGGCUAGAGUGCAGGAGAGGUAAGUGGAAUUCCUAGUGUAGCGGUGAAAUGCAUAGAUAUUAGGAGGAACACCAGUGGCGAAGGCGGCUUACUGGACUGUAACUGACACUGAGGCUCGAAAGCGUGGGGAGCAAACAGGAUUAGAUACCCGUGUAGUC